Molecule: ribosomal RNA, 912 nt
Filed under: uncultured archaeon
Lineage: Archaea
Description: bacterial SSU rRNA
Rfam family: Archaeal small subunit ribosomal RNA
Source: RNAcentral
UUCCGGUUGAUCCUGCCGGACCCUACUGCUAUCGGGGGAGGACUAAAACAUGCUAGUCGUGCGCGCUAGACGCGGCAUACGGCUCAGUAACACGUGGCUAACCCACCCUUGAGACGAAGAAAACCCCGGGAAACUGGGGGUAAUCCUCGAUAGAAGAAGACACCUGGAAAGGGUCUCCUUCCAAAGCUUCUAUGCUCAAGGACGGGGCCGCGGCCGAUCAGGUUGUUGGUGAGGCAAAGGCUCACCAAGCCUAUAACCGGUACGGGCCGUGAGAGCGGGAGCCCGGAGAUGGGUACUGAGACAAGGACCCAGGCCCUACGGGGCGCAGCAGUCGCGAAAACUCCGCAAUGCACGAAAGUGUGACGGGGCUACCCCGAGUGCCGUCCGCUGAGGAUGGCUUUUCUCUGCUGUAAGAAGGCGGAGGAAUAAGGCGAGGGCAAGUCUGGUGUCAGCCGCCGCGGUAAUACCAGCUCGCCGAGUGGUAGGGAUGAUUAUUGGGCCUGAAGCGUCCGUAGCCGGCCUUUCAAGUCUCUUGUUAAAUCCAACGAUUCAAUCGCUGGACUGCAGGAGAUACUGUUAGGCUAGGGGGCGGGAGAAGCCGACGGUAUUCUCGGGGUAGGGGUAAAAUCCUAUAAUCCCGGGAAGACCACCAGUGGCGUAGGCGGUCGGCUAGCACGCGCUCGACGGUGAGGGACGAAAGCUGGGGGAGCGAACCGGAUUAGAUACCCGGGUAGUCUCAGCUGUAAACGAUGCUGGCUAGGUGUUGAAGCGGCUACGAGCCGCUUCAGUGCCGCAGGGAAGCCAUUAAGCCAGCCGCCUGGGGAGUACGGCCGCAAGGCUGAAACUUAAAGGAAUUGGCGGGGGAGCACCACAAGGGGUGAAGCUUGCGGUUUAAUUGGAUUCAACGCCGGA